GUGGGGGAUAUUGGACAAUGGGGGGAACCCUGAUCCAGCGAUGCCGCGUGAGGGAAGAAGGUUUUCGGAUUGUAAACCUCUGUGGAGGGGGACGAUAAUGACAGUACCCCUUUAGGAAGCCACGGCUAACUACGUGCCAGCAGCCGCGGUAAUACGUAGGUGGCGAGCGUUGUCCGGAAUUACUGGGUGUAAAGGGAGUGUAGGCGGGAAAGCAAGUCAGAAGUGAAAACUAUGGGCUUAACCCAUAGCCUGCUUUUGAAACUGUUAUUCUUGAGUGAAGUAGAGGCAAGCGGAAUUCCCAGUGUAGCGGUGAAAUGCGUAGAUAUUGGGAGGAACACCAGUGGCGAAGGCGGCUUGCUGGGCUUUUACUGACGCUGAGGCUCGAAAGCGUGGGGAGCAAACAGG
Molecule: ribosomal RNA, 405 nt
Filed under: uncultured bacterium
Lineage: Bacteria
Description: bacterial SSU rRNA
Rfam family: Bacterial small subunit ribosomal RNA
Source: RNAcentral